RNAcentral lists this transfer RNA (67 nucleotides) under chicken gut metagenome. It matches the Rfam family "tRNA". Rfam says of the family: Transfer RNA (tRNA) molecules are approximately 80 nucleotides in length. Their secondary structure includes four short double-helical elements and three loops (D, anti-codon, and T loops). Further hydrogen bonds mediate the characteristic L-shaped molecular structure. tRNAs have two regions of fundamental functional importance: the anti-codon, which is responsible for specific mRNA codon recognition, and the 3' end, to which the tRNAs corresponding amino acid is attached (by aminoacyl-tRNA synthetases). tRNAs cope with the degeneracy of the genetic code in two manners: having more than one tRNA (with a specific anti-codon) for a particular amino acid; and 'wobble' base-pairing, i.e. permitting non-standard base-pairing at the 3rd anti-codon position. The record is from RNAcentral.
AAAAUAGCUCAGUCGGCAGAGCAACGCUCUCGUAAAGCGUAGGUCAGGGGUUCGAUUCCCCUUUUUG